Molecule: non-coding RNA, 28 nt
Filed under: Homo sapiens (human)
Lineage: Eukaryota; Metazoa; Chordata; Mammalia; Primates; Hominidae
Source: RNAcentral
CCACAACUCUCCCACUGAGGCCUCCGGG